RNAcentral lists this ribosomal RNA (888 nucleotides) under uncultured bacterium. Its description in RNAcentral is "bacterial SSU rRNA". It matches the Rfam family "Bacterial small subunit ribosomal RNA", at positions 51 to 933 of the family's 1533-position model. The record is from RNAcentral.
ACACAUGCAAGUCGAGGGGCAGCAUAAUGGAUAGCAAUAUCUAUGGUGGCGACCGGCGCACGGGUGCGUAACGCGUAUGCAACCUACCUUUAACAGGGGGAUAACACUGAGAAAUUGGUACUAAUACCCCAUAAUAUCAUAGAAGGCAUCUUUUAUGGUUGAAAAUUCCGAUGGUUAGAGAUGGGCAUGCGUUGUAUUAGCUAGUUGGUGGGGUAACGGCUCACCAAGGCGACGAUACAUAGGGGGACUGAGAGGUUAACCCCCCACACUGGUACUGAGACACGGACCAGACUCCUACGGGAGGCAGCAGUGAGGAAUAUUGGUCAAUGGACGCAAGUCUGAACCAGCCAUGCCGCGUGCAGGAUGACGGCUCUAUGAGUUGUAAACUGCUUUUGUACGAGGGUAAACGCAGAUACGUGUAUCUGUCUGAAAGUAUCGUACGAAUAAGGAUCGGCUAACUCCGUGCCAGCAGCCGCGGUAAUACGGAGGAUUCAAGCGUUAUCCGGAUUUAUUGGGUUUAAAGGGUGCGUAGGCGGUUUGAUAAGUUAGAGGUGAAAUUUCGGGGCUCAACCCUGAACGUGCCUCUAAUACUGUUGAGCUAGAGAGUAGUUGCGGUAGGCGGAAUGUAUGGUGUAGCGGUGAAAUGCUUAGAGAUCAUACAGAACACCGAUUGCGAAGGCAGCUUACCAAACUAUAUCUGACGUUGAGGCACGAAAGCGUGGGGAGCAAACAGGAUUAGAUACCCUGGUAGUCCACGCAGUAAACGAUGAUAACUCGUUGUCGGCGAUACACAGUCGGUGACUAAGCGAAAGCGAUAAGUUAUCCACCUGGGGAGUACGUUCGCAAGAAUGAAACUCAAAGGAAUUGACGGGGGCCCGCACAAGCGGA